CAACAAGGCUGUGCAAGAAACAAUCAGGAAAGCUCAGCAGCAUAAAACUAUGAGAAAACUGGGUCUGAGAAUCCAGAUGUCCUGAGUGAGUAAAGGGAAAAUUUUCACUUCUUCCUAUGGAAGCCUGUCACCCCCCAACUCCAUCCUAGGCUGAGGAAGUCUGCGUUCUUCUCUCACGGAGCUGGAGAACCUUUCAAGUGAUUGGCCUAAGAACAGGCAGGAGACGCGAUCUGGACCAAUCAGAAACUUACAUUGAGGUAUGUAUAUGUGCGUGU
RNAcentral lists this long non-coding RNA (275 nucleotides) under Homo sapiens (human). RNAcentral's name for it is "HSALNT0356800". Lineage: Eukaryota; Metazoa; Chordata; Mammalia; Primates; Hominidae. The record is from RNAcentral.